GACGUAGGGUCCGAGCGUUGUCCGGAGUUACUGGGCGUACAGAGCGCGCAGGCGGUCGUUCAAGUCGAGUGUGAAAGCCCCCGGCUCAACUGGGGAGGGUCAUUCGAUACUGAUCGACUCGAAGGCAGGAGAGGGUAGUGGAAUUCCCGGUGUAGUGGUGAAAUGCGUAGAUAUCGGGAGGAACACCAGUGGCGAAGGCGACUACCUGGCCUGUUCUUGACGCUGAGGCGCGAAAGCUAGGGGAGCAAACGGG
RNAcentral lists this ribosomal RNA (253 nucleotides) under uncultured bacterium. RNAcentral describes it as "partial 16S ribosomal RNA". It matches the Rfam family "Bacterial small subunit ribosomal RNA", at positions 524 to 776 of the family's 1533-position model. The record is from RNAcentral.